This 761-nucleotide ribosomal RNA is filed under the name uncultured soil bacterium. Its description in RNAcentral is "bacterial SSU rRNA". It matches the Rfam family "Bacterial small subunit ribosomal RNA", at positions 8 to 796 of the family's 1533-position model. The record is from RNAcentral.
AGAGUUUGAUCCUGGCUCAGGAUAAACGCUGGCGGCGUGCCUAAAACAUGCAAGUCGGACGGCCCCUUCGGGGGCAGUGGCGGACGGCUGAGUAACACGUGGGUGACCUGCCCUCGAGCGGGGGAUAACUGCCCGAAAGGGUGGCUAAUACCGCAGACGUCUGUUCUUCGGUGGGCAGACUGAACUCCAUUUCGGUGGGGGUUCGGGGAGGGGCCCGCGGCCGAUUAGCUGGCUGGUGGGGUAACGGCCUACCAGGGCUGCGAUCGGUAGCUGGUCUGAGAGGAUGAUCAGCCAGACUGGGACUGCGAACGGCCCAGACUCCUACGGGAGGCAGCAGUUAGGAAUUUUGGGCAAUGGGCGAAAGCCUGACCCAGCAACGCCGCGUGGGUGAUGAAGGCCCUCGGGUCGUAAAGCCCUUUUCCCAGGGAAGAUGGUGACGGUACCUGGGGAAUCAGCCCCGGCUAACUACGUGCCAGCAGCCGCGGUAAUACGUAGGGGGCAAGCGUUGUCCGGAUUUAUUGGGCGUAAAGCGCUCGCAAGUGGUCCGUCGCGUCGUGCGUGAAAGGCCCCGGCUCAACUGGGGAGGGUCGUGCGAUACGGGCGGACUGGAGGCCAGUAGGGGGAUGCGGAAUUCCGGGUGUAGUGGUGGAAUGCGUAGAGAUCCGGAGGAACACCAGCGGCGAAGGCGGCAUCCUGGACUGGUCCUGACACUCAGGAGCGAAAGCGUGGGGAGCGAUCCGGAUUAGAUACCCUGGUAGUCC